Molecule: ribosomal RNA, 253 nt
Filed under: uncultured bacterium
Lineage: Bacteria
Description: partial 16S ribosomal RNA
Rfam family: Bacterial small subunit ribosomal RNA
Source: RNAcentral
UACGUAGGGGGCGAGCGUUGUCCGGAAUUACUGGGCGUAAAGGGCACGUAGGCGGUUGGUUAAGUUGGCUGUGAAAUCACUCGGCUCAACUGAGUGGAGUCAGUCGAAACUGGCCGACUUGAGGGAGGCAGAGGGAAGCGGAAUUCCCGGAGUAGUGGUGAAAUGCGUAGAUACCGGGAGGAACACCAGUGGCGAAGGCGGCUUUCUGGGCUUUUCCUGACGCUGAGGUGCGAAGGCGUGGGGAGCGAACCGG